RNAcentral lists this ribosomal RNA (497 nucleotides) under uncultured bacterium. Its description in RNAcentral is "partial 16S ribosomal RNA". It matches the Rfam family "Bacterial small subunit ribosomal RNA", at positions 28 to 507 of the family's 1533-position model. The record is from RNAcentral.
GAUGAACGCUGGCGGCGUGCCUAAUACAUGCAAGUCGAGCGAACGGACGAGAAGCUUGCUUCUCUGAUGUUAGCGGCGGACGGGUGAGUAACACGUGGAUAACCUACCUAUAAGACUGGGAUAACUUCGGGAAACCGGAGCUAAUACCGGAUAAUAUUUUGAACCGCAUGGUUCAAAAGUGAAAGACGGUCUUGCUGUCACUUAUAGAUGGAUCCGCGCUGCAUUAGCUAGUUGGUAAGGUAACGGCUUACCAAGGCAACGAUGCUAAGCUGACCUGAGAGGGUGAUCGGCCACACUGGACCUGGGCCACGGUCCAGACUCCUCCGGGAGCCGGCAGUAGGGAAUCUUCCGCAAUGGGCGAAGGCCUGACGGAGCAACGCCGCGUGAGUGAUGAAGGUCUUCGGACCUUAAACCUCUGUUAUUAGGGAAGAACAUAUGUGUAAGUAACUGUGCACAUCUUGACGGUACCUAAUCAGAAAGCCACGGCUAACUACGUG